RNAcentral lists this ribosomal RNA (157 nucleotides) under Clusia sp. HG 400aa. RNAcentral describes it as "5.8S ribosomal RNA". It matches the Rfam family "5.8S ribosomal RNA". Rfam says of the family: 5.8S ribosomal RNA (5.8S rRNA) is a component of the large subunit of the eukaryotic ribosome. It is transcribed by RNA polymerase I as part of the 45S precursor that also contains 18S and 28S rRNA. Functionally, it is thought that 5.8S rRNA may be involved in ribosome translocation. Lineage: Eukaryota; Viridiplantae; Streptophyta; Magnoliopsida; Malpighiales; Clusiaceae. The record is from RNAcentral.
AAAACGACUCUCGGCAACCGAUAUCUCGGCUCUCGCAUCGAUGAAGAACGUAGCGAAAUGCGAUACUUGGUGUGAAUUGCAGAAUCCCGUGAACCAUCGAGUCUUUGAACGCAAGUUGCGCCCAAAGCCUUUUGGUUGAGGGCACGUCUGCCUGGGU